Molecule: long non-coding RNA, 5823 nt
Organism: Mustela lutreola (European mink)
Lineage: Eukaryota; Metazoa; Chordata; Mammalia; Carnivora; Mustelidae
Exons: 4
Source: RefSeq, a predicted model, not a curated record
UCUGCCCACAGGCAAGGACGGGGCAGGACCCGCUCUUCUCCGGGGACAUGAAGCAGAUCAGUAUGGACUAAAACCAGACCUUCUCAACCACAUCGUGCUCUGGGAUUGCUAUGGCGUUGGGAAGAAGCAAGUGGUUAUGGAUGGUGAGACGAGCCUGCUGGACAUUCUGGACGCGUGGGCCAGGAGGCGUCUAGCUCCACGGGAGACCAGUACAUGCCCACUGGAGGAGACCUCCUGUGUGUGUUUACCAUCAACAACAUCAAGUCCUUCCAGGACAUCCAGUACAGGUCCUGGGUACGCCCGUGCCUGCAGCAUGACAACCGGUUCCCACCUUCUUCCUUGCAGGGAGCAGAUGGGACCGCAGGGAGUGACGGAUUCCGGGGGAGCCCGGGCUCCGGCGCCAGGACUCUCGGGGACGCCCUGGGGCCCCUGCGACCCAGCAGUCCCUAGUGCUGACGUGAGGACGCCUUCUAGAUGCUGGUGCGCGAGAGCCAGGGGCGCAGGUUGGGGAAACGGAGCUCACCCAAGGACGGUGGCCCAGGCUGCAUGAGCUGCAAGUCCCCACCCUCCUGACGUCCCUUUCAGGCCAUCCUGGCAUCCCCGAAGGCCCUCUUGUGCCCCCGAAGCACAGGCAAGGGCAGGGAGGUGCUGGAUGCCAGAAGUGGGGGGACAGAGGAAGGAGCAGGAGAAGGAAGAAGGACCCCGGCCGCCCCAGACGCCCUGGACAGAGUCACUGUAGACUGGCUGGACAGAGGGGCAGUAGACCUCCCAGGAUGCUGGCACAGAUGUGGUGACCUGAGGCCCCAGCACCCCAGCUGUCACUCUCCUCCUAGCCCCGUCCUGGCCCUGUGGCCACAGGCUGAGUCCCAGUCAGUUAUUGGAUGGUCUUGACCUUGGCGUCUGGCCAAGAUGGGAAGGCACUUGGGACCCUCAGCUUUGUGUCUGUCUGCCUGGAAGCCCCUCUCGGGGAUGCCUGCAGGGGCUGGUGAGGCAGCCUGGGCAGAGCCACCCUCUUCUCUCUGGGUGUCUGUCUGGUGCUUCUGGCACAGAGCUGUGGCGCUGCGGGAACAGGCCGGCUUCGCAUUCUCACACGACAACACUUUAUUGAACUCUCAACAGUCAGCGGAGUCUCAGAACCAAGGGAGGGAGCCUUCUCCUGGGGAUGGAGACCCGCCUUUCCUUCAGGAGAAUGUUGAAAUCCCAAGGGGGCACGGGAGCUAGUGUGCCCCACCUUGGAGGUGUGCUGACUCCAUGCAGUGACCCCUUAAAGCCAGGUGCUGAGGACAGUGGAUCCGAGUCAGAGGGAAGUGUUGGGGUUCCGGGACAGGGUCCUGGCAUGUCUGCAUGACCUCUUCCUCUGCCCCAUGGCUGCCAUGAGACUGCUGGUGACCCAGCCUCUGGUGGCACCUGUCUCCUACUGUGGGGGUCAGUGGGCGGGGCCCACCUGCUAGCCCCUGCUCUGCCCUAACCGGGGUGAGAUGUGGUCCCCAGUGCUGCCCUAGGUCGGAGAUGUGGAUCCAUGGGGCGUGCCCAGGUCCCAGCUAGCCACACAGAGCCCUGAGAGAACUUAAACAGAUUUGGGACAGACCCCAAGGCUGGCCAGGGCCAUGGGGCCUAUGUCCCAUCAGUAUUCCUUCUGGUCCUAGGGGGACUUGUGUCGUCUCUGACCCCCAGGACCUGGGACCACUCAGUGAGAUCGUUCUGGGUUAGGAACUUGUGCCUCCUAAGGUGGGUGCUGUCCUCUAGGAAGGCCAGUGUGACAAGGCAGGGCAUGGUGUUGGCUGCCCAGAGCCUCAGGGUCCGCACGCUCAGCAUCGUGCUCUACUCCAGAGGCCAGGAAGCAUCUAGUUUCCCUGUAUAGGUGGAAUCCAAGGGUCCUGGGAAGGUGUGGGCCUUGGGGUUGGUGGCUCAGCGCUGGCCCAGAUGUGUCUCAGCUGUGCCAGUCACUCCCCAGAGAGGGUCAUGAGCUGCAGAGGCCACAGGGCAGGAAGGGUGUCCUGGGCCCUACAGCUUCAUCUGUAGUGGGCUGGGGAGACCCUGUCCCAGGAUUCCCAGGGGCAUUCUGGGGCCUGGUCUGUGGUGUGACCGCUGGGGUGGCCCAGGCAGGGGCUGAGGGAAAAGGACCCAGUGUUUCGGCUUCAUGUCUGGGACUCCCCUUCCUGCAUUCUCCUGGUGCGCUGGGAGGCUGCGGGGGUGGGAAUUCCAUCACUGUGGGAGCAGGCGGGCCAGGCAGGGGUCCUGGGCUGAGGGCAGCUGGGCCAGAACCUGACGCCGGGCCUCCCGGCCACAGGUGGGCAGCCUCGGACUCCGUGGACUUUCCCACCUGCAGUGGCUCCUUGGCCUUGAGCAUGGCCUGGCCGGGGGUGGGAGGCUCCUGGCUGCUCAGGGUGUGCGCCGGGCCUGGGGGUGCCACCCCUUCACUCUGGGGAGCAUCUCAACGCCGCGAGAAGCGAAAAGAGGCCUGGGCAUUGGGGACGUUGCUCCAGACCCAGGGGCAUUGGGAACUCUUCAGGGCCCACUGCAAAGAGGCAGACUGGGUUAGCAUCUCCAGCAGGCGUCUGUCCCCAGCUGGCUGGGCCCGCAGGGUAUACUCAUGGCUCCCUGCGUGUCCACCCUGGCCUGCCCCGACAACCACCCUCCAGGCUGCUGAUGCCCAACCCCUGCAGGGAACUGGCAUAUGUCCCGCCCUGGCCUGGGGUCCCCGAGGUUGGAGCCAGGAGUAUAGAGGGACAGAGAUGACGAAGGCUCUGGGGCGUUGUCCACUGUGUGCUGCCCAGGAGGGAGAAUCCGGAGGGAUGGGAGCCCUGAGCCUACCUGGGGGUGGGGCAGGUCACACUUCAUCCUUCAGAGCGAAGCCAUGGAGGCCUGACGGUGUCCUGACACUUCAUCCUCCAGGGCCAGGGGCUGGGCUAACGUGUCCUGCAGGAAGUCCCGAAGACCUUUCAGAGGCAGCUUCAGGAGGGGUUCUGGGCAAUGUGUGUGAGUCCGAGCCAGCAGGGCCCCACCCUGCCACCCCAGUCUGCCUCCCAGGGGCAGCUGCUGAGGUCCAGCUGUGCCCAGGAGCGAGGCAGGCAGAGCCGGGGCAGGGGGAGGCCUCCUGCCCGCUGCUCCUCUGCAGGGAGUCCUGCCCAAGCCACCUCCCUGGCCUCCGUCCCUCCACCAAGGCUUGAAAGUUCCUCAGCACAGUGGCCCAACGCCCCUGACCCCACCCUCGUGCACGCCUGGGCUCCCGUGGGCUCACUUACUGCGGUGCACCUUGAGGAUGGUGUGUGCCAUGGUUGUGAGCUUGCACUCCCCAUCUAGCAUGUGGACAUCCCACAGCUUCAGGGUGAGAGAAAAGGGGUCUGGGAGAGCGGGACCAUGGGGGGUCCCCGCCACCCCCUGCCUCCAUCGGAGAAGGCCCCGCAACCCCUCCUGUGGGUGCCCUCCUCCCGGGGAAGAUGGGGUUCCGGACGGCUCCAGGGAAGGGCCUGGCCAGCAGGACAUGCGAACCUGGGAGGCCACAGACUCUGCCCCACCCUCGGGGGCCACCCGUCCCGAGAGGCUCGGGGCUGGCCGCAGAAUGGGCUGAGGGCCUGUCGCUCUGCAGGCUCCCCUGGCCUUCCUUGGGGAGCUACAAAGGACACAGCUGGUCCCCUGGCACCUCCUCAGGGGUCCUCUUGGGUUCUCCGGGGUUGUUCUGGGCCAUGAACCUCGGCCUUAGGGCUGCUGAUUCGGGGCCGGCUGGUCUGGGGGGUGAGGCUGAGCUCGGGCCUCCCUGGGGGCCAGGGCCAGGGAGCACGUGGGACUGGGUCUGCCUGGGGGCCUUGCCCAGCCGAUGAAGCACUGCAGAAGCCAUUUGGGGUGUAAAGCCUCAUCUCUUCCUUGUCCUGGUGGAAGGACAGGAGGUGCUCGGGACCCACCCACCGGCGGCAAACCUCCCUGGGCCCGGGCCCUAGAGUUAGGUGGACACGCUCCCCUGGGCCCAGCAGGAGAAGGAACAGGACACUAGGCUCUGGGCAGCAUGCGCAGGGUUCUCUGGGACCCCCCAUGCCUGCCCCGGGCUGUGGGGACGGAGCCUCUGGGGAGUUUCUACUCGCGAGGUGUUUCUUGAGGUGUUUUAGUUCUUUUGCCAUGAUGAGCUCGUGAUGGGCCUGGAAUUGUGCCAGUUUUGGAAACCCUGGAAUGAAGAAGCCUGAGAAGGCCUCAGGCGCCACCCCCACCCUACCCUACCCCCCACCAAUCAGGGCCUUGUCCCCCACCAGGUGGGGAGCGAGUCCUGGCAGGUGCCUCCUCUUCCAUGCCCUGUCUCCAGGGUGUGCCCACAGCCCUCCCGAACCCCGGCUGGUCCCGCUCUUCCCAGACAGCAAGACUGCUGUCCGGGCCUGGAUGGGGCGGGGGGUGGAGGGCAGCUGCUGGGGCACAGGACCCUCCUCCUCACAGAGACCCAGCUGGGUGGGUGAGGACCAGGCCUGUCUCACCCAACAACUCUUUACUGCAGGGGUUGCUGCAGGGGCAAGGGAGUUCCCAGCACCCAGGGUCAGGGCACGCGGCCCACAGGGAGGGUGAUGGGGGUGUGCAGGGCCAACUCCUGGGCUUGGGAUUCAGUCUGGGGACCCAUGCGAGUGGCAGAUGCUGCUACCUGACUUUGGCCGGCCGUGGGCUGGCGGGGGGGGGGUCUGGGGGGGCAAGCCGGCAGCCAGAUAGGAGGCUGAAGGACCCGUGGGAAUCUGAGAAUGGUCUGCCAAUGGUAGGGCCAGUGACCAUGGCUACAGAGCCCUGAAAGCUCCCUGGGGAGGCAAUGCCCUUUGCUAGUAGGGAGGCGGCCUGGUGCAGUUUCUGGCCUGCCCUGCUGCUGGAGCCGCCCUGCGGGGAGGGCGUCCUGAGCUCCCAGUCCUGUCCAGCCGCCCUGCCGACUCCCUACCCUGUACGGCUUGUCUCUCCAGUGAAACCCACGGAGUUAGCUCCCAAAAAGCCGCCUCCUCGGACAGGAACCUGAGCAGGACUCCCACUAUCUGACUCCUGUCCUUUCAGUCGCCUACCUCCUGCAAGAGGUGGCACGUUCCCAUGGAAUGAGACCACCUCAACGGGCUGGAGAUCAGGGUCUUGGGAACCGUUCUGCCCACCCCGUUCUGAUUCCUAGUUCGGUCUCUUUAGGACCCAGACCUGAGUUUUAAGGCAAUGGUGAUACCCACUAGAGCACCAGGCAGCUCCAGAGCUCAGGGACAGGGGCGCUGAGGUCUGCACCCUGUCCUGGCCUCAGUCCUACAGUCCAGAGCCCCAUCCUUGCGUCUCUGGGACAAUGGGAGCUGGAGUCCCAGCUCUGCAUUCUGGCCCCACCGUGAACGUCCCCUUGGUGGCCAUCCGCUCCCCGACCCCACACCGCUCCCCGCAGCCCCUGAGGUCCCUCUUCCCCGUGGUCUGGCUUGUCCCAGAUCCCGCGGAUGCCACUAGACACCAUCUGGCUUCCUUCCCUGAGCCCAAGGCAGCCAAGGUGUGUGCACAGAGUCAAGCCCGUCCGUGGUGCAGUCCAUGGGGCGCUGGUGCCUCGCGCUGUUCCCCCCCCCCCCCAUGGGAUGCGUGCCCAGCCCCGUGCGCGCGUCUUCUUUGCUCAAGUGUCUGCUCAGAGCUGUGUCUGCUGUGCGGGGCUCCGGGCGCUCGGUCCCUGAGCUGCGUGUCCUCCAUGUGCAAGGGCCCUGUCUUCGGUGCAGGAAUGGAAAUAUGUAACCCCCACGCGCCCCGCCCCUUAGCUUUCCUCCGUGCUCUGAACGGUGGCUCUGCAGAGCGCGCGCUUCUGACUGAAAUAAACUCCGGUUUACCCAGGAGUCCUCUCUCGCCUGUCUU